CCCGGACUCAAGUUAUUCUCCUGCCUCAGCCUCCCCAGUAGCUGGGACUACAGGCAUGCGCCACCACGCCUGGCUAAUUUUUGUACUUUUAGCGGAGAUGGGGUUUCACCAUGUUGGCCAGGCUGGUCUGGAACUCCUGAUCCACCUGGCUCGGCCUCUCAAAGUGCUGGGAUGACAGACAGGCGUGAGCCACCACGCCCGAUCUAUUGUUGAUUUUUAAUUGAGAUGUAUGAGAUCCAACCAGGACUUGCUGAAUCAGAAUCUCUGAUGGCGCAACACAGAAAACUAUCAUUGGCAAAUUGUUCUAAGCUGAUUAUGAUGCGACGGCUUUAUUGCUUGGGAACGGUACCAAAUUUCCUCGAAAGUCACUUCUGAAUUUGCAGUCUAAAUGAUGUGACCUCCCACAGUCCAGCACUGGUGAGUUGUUGCAUCAGGUACAACUGCAUCAUAAGGUAUGGAGUUUCUAAAUCACACCGAAAACAGUUAGCCAAAACAGUAGAAACUAGAGGAGUCCUCCUGAAAGUUGGCAUCAAUACAUGAACCCUAAGAGACAGCAUUUGUGCUCAUUGGGAAUAUGGAACUGGACACUUGGAUGUCUGUAGUACUUCUUCCAAUGCAGUGCCGUCUCUACCAUUCCUGGAUCUCAAACUCUUUCAUAUGGACCAUGAAUACACG
This 675-nucleotide long non-coding RNA is filed under the name Pan troglodytes (chimpanzee). RNAcentral's name for it is "long non-coding RNA NONPTRT016219". Lineage: Eukaryota; Metazoa; Chordata; Mammalia; Primates; Hominidae. The record is from RNAcentral.